UACAGUGGGUGCGAGCGUUAAUCGGAAUUACUGGGCGUAAAGUGUGCGCAGGCGGCCGAGCAAGUCGAGUGUGAAAGCCCCGGGCUUAACUUGGGAAUUGCGCUCGAAACUACUUGGCUGGAGUGUGGCAGAGGAAGGUGGAAUUCCAGGUGUAGCGGUGAAAUGCGUAGAGAUCUGGAGGAACACCGAUGGCGAAGGCAGCCUUCUGGGCCAACACUGACGCUCAUGCACGAAAGCGUGGGGAGCAAACAGG
RNAcentral lists this ribosomal RNA (253 nucleotides) under uncultured bacterium. RNAcentral describes it as "partial 16S ribosomal RNA". It matches the Rfam family "Bacterial small subunit ribosomal RNA", at positions 524 to 776 of the family's 1533-position model. The record is from RNAcentral.